GAUGAACGCUAGCUACAGGCUUAACACAUGCAAGUCGAGGGGCAGCAUUUCAGUUUGCUUGCAAACUGGAGAUGGCGACCGGCGCACGGGUGAGUAACACGUAUCCAACCUGCCGAUAACUCGGGGAUAGCCUUUCGAAAGAAAGAUUAAUACCCGAUGGUAUAAUCAGACCGCAUGGUCUUGUUAUUAAAGAAUUUCGGUUAUCGAUGGGGAUGCGUUCCAUUAGGCAGUUGGUGAGGUAACGGCUCACCAAACCUUCGAUGGAUAGGGGUUCUGAGAGGAAGGUCCCCCACAUUGGAACUGAGACACGGUCCAAACUCCUACGGGAGGCAGCAGUGAGGAAUAUUGGUCAAUGGGCGCAGGCCUGAACCAGCCAAGUAGCGUGAAGGAUGACUGCCCUAUGGGUUGUAAACUUCUUUUAUAUGGGAAUAAAGUUUUCCACGUGUGGAAUUUUGUAUGUACCAUAUGAAUAAGGAUCGGCUAACUCCGUGCCAGCAGCCGCGGUAAUACGGAGGAUCCGAGCGUUAUCCGGAUUUAUUGGGUUUAAAGGGAGCGUAGGUGGACAGUUAAGUCAGUUGUGAAAGUUUGCGGCUCAACCGUAAAAUUGCAGUUGAUACUGGCUGUCUUGAGUACAGUAGAGGUGGGCGGAAUUCGUGGUGUAGCGGUGAAAUGCUUAGAUAUCACGAAGAACUCCGAUUGCGAAGGCAGCUCACUGGACUGCAACUGACACUGAUGCUCGAAAGUGUGGGUAUCAAACAGGAUUAGAUACCCUGGUAGUCCACACAGUAAACGAUGAAUACUCGCUGUUUGCGAUAUACAGUAAGCGGCCAAGCGAAAGCAUUAAGUAUUCCACCUGGGGAGUACGCCGGCAACGGUGAAACUCAAAGGAAUUGACGGGGGCCCGCACAAGCGGAGGAACAUGUGGUUUAAUUCGAUGAUACGCGAGGAACCUUACCCGGGCUUAAAUUGCAUUUGAAUAUAUUGGAAACAGUAUAGCCGUAAGGCAGAUGUGAAGGUGCUGCAUGGUUGUCGUCAGCUCGUGCCGUGAGGUGUCGGCUUAAGUGCCAUAACGAGCGCAACCCUUAUCUUUAGUUACUAACAGGUCAUGCUGAGGACUCUAGAGAGACUGCCGUCGUAAGAUGUGAGGAAGGUGGGGAUGACGUCAAAUCAGCACGGCCCUUACGUCCGGGGCUACACACGUGUUACAAUGGGGGGUACAGAAGGCAGCUACCUGGUGACAGGAUGCUAAUCCCAAAAGCCUCUCUCAGUUCGGAUCGAAGUCUGCAACCCGACUUCGUGAAGCUGGAUUCGCUAGUAAUCGCGCAUCAGCCAUGGCGCGGUGAAUACGUUCCCGGGCCU
Molecule: ribosomal RNA, 1359 nt
Filed under: uncultured bacterium
Lineage: Bacteria
Description: bacterial SSU rRNA
Rfam family: Bacterial small subunit ribosomal RNA
Source: RNAcentral